AGAUAGCCAUGCACGUCUAAGUAUAAGCAUUUUAUACGGGUGAAACUGCGAAUGGCUCAUUAAAUCAGUUAUAGUUUAUUUGAUGGUUUNAUNCUUGGAUAACCCGCANGUANAUUCUNUGGCGUAANAAAUGCUGAAUACCCUCUNCCUGGGUUGGAUUUGUUAGAUCUUUACUAACUUUGUUGGUGAAUCAUGAUAAGAUAACNNAUCGCUUAGGGGUAACCCGGCGACCGAUCAUUCAAGUUUCUGCCCUAUCAACUUUCUAUGGUACNGUAUUGNCCUACCAUGGUGACCACGGGUAACGGGGGAUUAGGGUUCGAUUCCGGAGAGGGAGCCUGAGAAAUGGCUACCACUUCUAAAGAAGGCAGCACGCGCGCAAAUUACCCAAUCCUGACCUAGGGAGGUAGUGACAAUACAUACUAAUGCAAGGCUUUGCUUUGCAAUUGGAAUGAGUACAACUUAAACCUGUUAACGANAACCCAUUGNAGGGCAAG
RNAcentral lists this ribosomal RNA (494 nucleotides) under uncultured fungus. RNAcentral describes it as "partial 18S ribosomal RNA". It matches the Rfam family "Eukaryotic small subunit ribosomal RNA", at positions 41 to 559 of the family's 1831-position model. Lineage: Eukaryota; Fungi. The record is from RNAcentral.